Molecule: long non-coding RNA, 800 nt
Filed under: Equus asinus (donkey)
Lineage: Eukaryota; Metazoa; Chordata; Mammalia; Perissodactyla; Equidae
Description: lncRNA (ENSEASG00005025867.1)
Source: RNAcentral
CUCUUCUAGACAUUUCUUCUUUCUAAACUUCCGUGUUUCUCAUUUCUUCCAACUGUAGGAAAAGCCAACUCUAACGACCGUUAAACUCUGCCUUCAGUUCUCAGCACCCUGCAGGGUGACAUCCUGAGCAAAUGGUUAUGGUGCCCUCUGCUAUGAACAGAGCGCUGUCUAAGUCCUGGGACUACAAGGUUAUGCUGGCCUCACCUGCAGAUCUGACAGCCAGCCUGUGGACACAGCCAUAUCAACUUGAUGCUGUGAUGAUCAGCAAGGAGAAACUAGGUGUUGGGAAGACACUCCUCAAAGUCAGAUGUGAUUUCGUGGAAUGAGAGUCCAAAAGCACCCAUGACCCAUCCCCACCCCAAGACUAAUACCCAAACUGUUGGGGGACCGGCCAGGAGACUGAAGAGAAGCACAGUGGACGUUCUGUGUGCGGCUGCAUCUCAGAUUGCAGUAGCCCCUGCCAGACUCCUCACGCCCACCUGCGAUAGAACGCUGCUCCUCUCCCCACAUCCCUGCGCUCCUCUGAACCCUGGAGCAGGCAGCAGCGAAGAGUCAGGCUGGAGACUCCUCCCAAACAAGUCAAUGGCGAGCGAAGCAAGCGCUCUAGACCUGUGCGGUCCAAUGCAGCUGCCACCGGACACAGGGGGAGACCCAGCACUUGAAAUGAAGCCAGUGCAAAUUGAGAUGUGCUGUAGCUAUAAAAUACACACCAGAUUUUGAAUACUUAGUAUAAAAAGAGAGUGUAAAAUGUCUCAUUAAUCAUUUUAUGUUGAUUACGUUUUGAAAUGAUACUGUUUUUG